Molecule: transfer RNA, 76 nt
Filed under: Nevskiaceae bacterium
Lineage: Bacteria; Pseudomonadati; Pseudomonadota; Gammaproteobacteria; Nevskiales; Nevskiaceae
Description: tRNA-Cys
Source: RNAcentral
AGCGCGCGGGCAGGUCGGUGAUGCACCUGGCGGCAAACCAGGCUUGAGGCCGGUUCGACUCCGGCGCGCGCUUCCA